This 445-nucleotide ribosomal RNA is filed under the name uncultured bacterium. RNAcentral describes it as "partial 16S ribosomal RNA". It matches the Rfam family "Bacterial small subunit ribosomal RNA", at positions 354 to 796 of the family's 1533-position model. The record is from RNAcentral.
GUGAGGAAUAUUGGACAAUGGACGCAAGCCUGAUCCAGCCAUGCCGCGUGCAGGAAGACGCAUCUAUGGUGUGUAAACUGCUUUUGUACGGGAAGAAACACUCCCUCGUGAGGGAGCUUGACGGUACCGUAAGAAUAAGGAUCGGCUAACUCCGUGCCAGCAGCCGCGGUAAUACGGAGGAUCCAAGCGUUAUCCGGAAUCAUUGGGUUUAAAGGGUCCGUAGGCGGUUUAAUAAGUCAGUGGUGAAAGCCCAUCGCUCAACGAUGGAACGGCCAUUGAUACUGUUAGACUUGAAUUACAAGGAAGUAACUAGAAUAUGUAGUGUAGCGGUGAAAUGCUUAGAUAUUACAUGGAAUACCAAUUGCGAAGGCAGGUUACUACUUGUGGAUUGACGCUGAUGGACGAAAGCGUGGGGAGCGAACAGGAUUAGAUACCCGAGUAGUCC